This 409-nucleotide ribosomal RNA is filed under the name uncultured Methylomirabilota bacterium. Its description in RNAcentral is "bacterial SSU rRNA". It matches the Rfam family "Bacterial small subunit ribosomal RNA", at positions 1026 to 1434 of the family's 1533-position model. Lineage: Bacteria; Methylomirabilota (SeqCode). The record is from RNAcentral.
GCGUGGAGACAGGUGGUGCAUGGCUGUCGUCAGCUCGUGUCGUGAGAUGUUGGGUUAAGUCCCGCAACGAGCGCAACCCUCACCCCUGGUUGCCACCGGGUAAUGCCGAGCACUCGAGGGGAACUGCCAGCGUCAAGCUGGAGGAAGGCGGGGAUGACGUCAAGUCAUCAUGCCCCUUACGCCCUGGGCUACACACGUGCUACAAUGGCCGGUACAAAGGGACGCAAGACCGCGAGGUGGAGCUAAUCCCAAAAAGCCGGUCUAAGUUCAGAUUGCAGUCUGCAACUCGACUGCAUGAAGGAGGAAUCGCUAGUAAUCGCGCAUCAGCCCGGCGCGGUGAAUACGUUCCCGGGCCUUGUACACACCGCCCGUCACACCACGAAGGCUGUCUGUACUCGAAGUCGCUGAG